RNAcentral lists this ribosomal RNA (497 nucleotides) under uncultured bacterium. Its description in RNAcentral is "partial 16S ribosomal RNA". It matches the Rfam family "Bacterial small subunit ribosomal RNA", at positions 28 to 507 of the family's 1533-position model. The record is from RNAcentral.
GAUGAACGCUGGCGGCGUGCCUAAUACAUGCAAGUCGAGCGAACGGACGAGAAGCUUGCUUCUCUGAUGUUAGCGGCGGACGGGUGAGUAACACGUGGAUAACCUACCUAUAAGACUGGGAUAACUUCGGGAAACCGGAGCUAAUACCGGAUAAUAUUUUGAACCGCAUGGUUCAAAAGUGAAAGACGGUCUUGCUGUCACUUAUAGAUGGAUCCGCGCUGCAUUAGCUAGUUGGUAAGGUAACGGCUUACCAAGGCAACGAUGCAUAGCCGACCUGAGAGGGUGAUCGGCCACACUGGAACUGAGACACGGUCCAGACCCCUACGGGAGGCAGCAGUAGGGAAUCUUCCGCAAUGGGCGAAAGCCUGACGGAGCAACGCCGCGUGAGUGAUGAAGGUCUUCGGAUCGUAAAACUCUGUUAUUAGGGAAGAACAUAUGUGUAAGUAACUGUGCACAUCUUGACGGUACCCAAUCAGAAAGCCACGGCUAACUACGUG